ACAUGACUCUCGGCAACGGAUAUCUCGGCUCUCGCAUCGAUGAAGAACGUAGCGAAAUGCGAUACCUGGUGUGAAUUGCAGAAUCCCGCGAACCAUCGAGUCUUUGAACGC
RNAcentral lists this ribosomal RNA (111 nucleotides) under Calamagrostis neglecta. Its description in RNAcentral is "partial 5.8S ribosomal RNA". It matches the Rfam family "5.8S ribosomal RNA", at positions 1 to 107 of the family's 154-position model. From Rfam's summary of the family: 5.8S ribosomal RNA (5.8S rRNA) is a component of the large subunit of the eukaryotic ribosome. Lineage: Eukaryota; Viridiplantae; Streptophyta; Magnoliopsida; Poales; Poaceae. The record is from RNAcentral.